This 496-nucleotide ribosomal RNA is filed under the name uncultured bacterium. RNAcentral describes it as "bacterial SSU rRNA". It matches the Rfam family "Bacterial small subunit ribosomal RNA", at positions 903 to 1397 of the family's 1533-position model. The record is from RNAcentral.
AAAUGAAUAGACGGGGACCCGCACAAGCAGCGGAGCAUGUGGUUUAAUUCGAAGCAACGCGAAGAACCUUACCAGGUCUUGACAUCUGCUUGCCCGAGGUAGAGAUACCUUCUUCCCUUCGGGGACAAGCAGACAGGUGGUGCAUGGUUGUCGUCAGCUCGUGUCGUGAGAUGUUGGGUUAAGUCCCGCAACGAGCGCAACCCCUAUUCUUAGUUACUAACAAGUGAAGUUGAGGACUCUAAGAAGACUGCCGGUGACAAACCGGAGGAAGGUGGGGAUGACGUCAAAUCAUCAUGCCCUUUAUGACCUGGGCUACACACGUGCUACAAUGGUCGGUACAGAGAGCAGCGAAGUCGCGAGGCCAAGCGAACCUCAAAAAGCCGAUCCCAGUUCGGAUUGCAGGCUGCAACUCGCCUGCAUGAAGUCGGAGUUGCUAGUAAUCGCGGAUCAGCACGCCGCGGUGAAUGCGUACCCGGGUCUUGUACACACCGCCCGU